UACAGAGGUCCCGAGCGUUGUUCGGAUUCACUGGGCGUAAAGGGUUCGUAGGCGGUGAGGUAAGUCGGAUGUGAAAUCUCCGGGCUCAACCCGGAAAUGGCAUUGGAAACUACCUUGCUAGAGGAUUUGAGGGGGGAUUGGAAUACUUGGUGUAGCAGUGAAAUGCGUAGAUAUCAAGUGGAACACCAGUGGCGAAGGCGAAUCCCUGGAAAAUACCUGACACUGAGGCACGAAAGCUAGGGGAGCAAACAGG
This 253-nucleotide ribosomal RNA is filed under the name uncultured bacterium. RNAcentral's name for it is "partial 16S ribosomal RNA". It matches the Rfam family "Bacterial small subunit ribosomal RNA", at positions 524 to 776 of the family's 1533-position model. The record is from RNAcentral.